ACUCAAACGUCACGCGACUGAUUGAUGCGUAUAAAAACAGGUUUUUCUUUCACUUCUACUGUAGAACCGCCCUAAACGUACAGACAGUCCAGCUUACUUUACAGACUUUAGUCAGAACAAUCCAACAUGUCCGGCAAGGCUAAUAAUGACAACAAGUCUGCUCAGUGCAACCCUACGUCUGGCAAAUACCAAGGUUACUCAUCUUCAUAUGGGGGAACCGGCACAAAGGCCGACCUUGGUAACCACAGCAACCAGCUCAACCCUAACAACACAAGAUUUCAGGGAGGGAAAAAAUGAGGUUGUUCUCAUCGAAGCUGCGGACGCAUUUAUUUCUUAACAUGCAGGUCCGCAAAGCUCUUUAAUAAAUAAUGAUAUUUUUUUUUUUAAAUGUCAUUAAAACUCUAUCCUGUAAACUCAGUCAAUAAAGUGUGUUGACCUUCUAAA
This is a long non-coding RNA of Physella acuta, 444 nucleotides long. RefSeq lists it as uncharacterized. The record is from RefSeq and is a predicted model, not a curated record. Lineage: Eukaryota; Metazoa; Mollusca; Gastropoda; Physidae.